Long non-coding RNA from Lolium perenne, 1608 nucleotides. RefSeq lists it as uncharacterized. Lineage: Eukaryota; Viridiplantae; Streptophyta; Magnoliopsida; Poales; Poaceae. The record is from RefSeq and is a predicted model, not a curated record.
AAUUUGAUAGUGGACAUCUGCCAAGGCCAGCUUGUUUUAGUGACGCUCCUUGCACAAAACCCCCCAGGAACCUAGUGUCGUCGAGCUAGAAUCGUAACUUUCUGUCUCUCCUCGUGAUAUCACAACUUCCCGGUGGUGAUGUGCAUGUCAACAAGAAACUCAGCAGAGCUGGCGAUAGCUAAUAAGAUAAGUACCUGAAACAGCUGAAGCAAACAACGGGGCCAUGGCAUAGGAGCGCCUCGUAAUGACCGCUUCCAUUGGAGCGCCUCGUAAUGGUCGCUUCCAUCGGGGACAGUUUGUAUUGCGAAAACUAGCAGCAGCCGCAUUCAUCAAUUAUCCACUAUAUUAACCUAUUUGUGCUGGUUAGCUGAGCAUAAAAUUAUGGAGUUGCACAUAAGAAUUAUCGAUGGGUUAGCUGUCCACGUUGGUUACUGGUUAGUUUAUUGGCAAGUCCAGUCAGCUUAACUUAAAAAAGGCCAAGUAGCUGGAUCAGAACUGCUUUAUUGCCUUGUUGAGCUGCUGCUUUGGUGAUUUCUGCCUCUCAUUGGCUUGCAGCACAACAAUAUUAGCUCAUACUAUCUGCCUCUCCUGCAACCUGCGCUGGCUUCUCACUUCUUCAUCCGUGCUUUUCAUCCAUCACUGUCCAGAAACAAUUCCAACAGGUUACCCCACUCGAUCCGCCUCCAGAGCCGGCUGCUACUCGUAGGCGCUGACGGGUUCCCUUGUCUGACAUAUAUCAUUCACGUGGUGUUUCCAGACGCCGGGUGAAAUCGUGUCCAGGCAGGAGCUAUGCCCAAUGCUGAACGAACGAGCUGUGCUCAGUCUGCGGGUUACAAAUGAGGAAGCAGCUGGCAACCUGGGCUUGGCUAACCUGCCAUCCCUUCGGGAUGUCUAUGUCCUCUUGGGUCUCUAUGGAGUGACGGUCGGGCAGGCCAAGCAAGCGGAGGCUGCGCUGGGGAAAGCACUCCGUGGCCACUCUAACAGUCCCACCUUUGAAAUCGAAUUCCAACCGUACAUGCCAGAGGACGCUUGUGAUGACUACGUCCCCUUCCCGGACGAUGAGUCGGAGUGAAGAACCUGCAGAUAACUGAAGAGAGGGACCGGACGGUGGUGGUGAUGUACGAGUUCAUCAAGAAGCAUGUGCAUCCCUUUCAAGCUGAAGCGCCGAGAGUCAUCGGCCACACAAACCGAGAGCUCGGAAUGCUCUGGUACAAACCUGAAGCGACGUGUUUUGAGGUUCUGUGGUCGCAAGUUCGUUUCCACGGAAAGCAUGAGGUGGGGAAGGAAUAGUUAGGUGUUAGUUUUGGGCAGUUCUGAGGUGUCCAUCGCUAGAUGCUGGAGUUACUUGCCCACUGAAAAUGUGUACAUCCAUCCAUGGUUUGUGAAUUAGCAGUUAACAAGAUCAGGCUUGACUUUGAGCUGGGUGAUUAAGGAAGCUUGCAACCUUUCUGUUCUUCCUUCUUAUCACAAAGUAGAAUAGCAGCUGGCUUGCCUGCCUUAUUCUUGUUGUUUGUAUGUGAAGUGUGAAUCCAUUUGUGGAUCACAAUGAUCAGCUGUUCAUGAUUGUGUAUGAUCAUCUCAGCUGCUUGAAUCAAUAUGGUUUUUCCA